Molecule: ribosomal RNA, 520 nt
Filed under: uncultured Glomus
Lineage: Eukaryota; Fungi; Glomeromycota; Glomeromycetes; Glomerales; Glomeraceae
Description: SSU rRNA
Rfam family: Eukaryotic small subunit ribosomal RNA
Source: RNAcentral
AGCAGCCGCGGUAAUUCCAGCUCCAAUAGCGUAUAUUAAAGUUGUUGCAGUUAAAAAGCUCGUAGUUGAAUUUCGGGAUCAAAUUGUCGGUCGUGCCUCGGUACGUACUGGCGUUAUUGGUUCCUCCCUUCUGAAGAACCGCGAUGUCAUUAAUUUGGUGUCGCGGGGAAUCAGGACUGUUACUUUGAAAAAAUUAGAGUGUUUAAAGCAGGCUCGCGCUUGAAUACAUUAGCAUGGAAUAAUGAAAUAGGACGUUUGAUUCUAUUUUGUUGGUUUCUAGGAUCGACGUAAUGAUUAAUAGGGAUAGUUGGGGGGCAUUAGUAUUCAAUUGUCAGAGGUGAAAUUCUUGGAUUUAUUGAAGACUAACUACUGCGAAAGCAUUUGCCAAGGAUGUUUUCAUUAAUCAAGAACGAAAGUUAGGGGAUCGAAGGCGAUCAGAUACCGUCGUAGUCUUAACCAUAAACUAUGCCGACUAGGGAUCGGAUGAUGUUAAUUUUUUAAUGACUCAUUCGGCGCCUUA